CCAGACUCCUACGGGAGGCAGCAGUGGGGAAUAUUGCACAAUGGGGGAAACCCUGAUGCAGCAACGCCGCGUGAGUGAAGAAGUAUUUCGGUAUGUAAAGCUCUAUCAGCAGGGAAGAAAAUGACGGUACCUGACUAAGAAGCCCCGGCUAACUACGUGCCAGCAGCCGCGGUAAUACGUAGGGGGCAAGCGUUAUCCGGAUUUACUGGGUGUAAAGGGAGCGUAGACGGCAUGGCAAGUCAGAUGUGAAAGCCCAGGGCUCAACCCCGGGACUGCAUUUGAAACUGUCAGGCUGGAGUGCAGGAGAGGUAAGUGGAAUUCCUAGUGUAGCGGUGAAAUGCGUAGAUAUUAGGAGGAACACCAGUGGCGAAGGCGGCUUACUGGACUGUAACUGACGUUGAGGCUCGAAAGCGUGGGGAGCAAACAGGAUUAGAUACCCGUGUACA
Molecule: ribosomal RNA, 446 nt
Filed under: uncultured bacterium
Lineage: Bacteria
Description: partial 16S ribosomal RNA
Rfam family: Bacterial small subunit ribosomal RNA
Source: RNAcentral